GGAGCUUAGCUCAGCUGGGAGAGCAUCUGCCUUACAAGCAGAGGGUCGGGGGUUCGAUCCCCUCAGCCUCCACCA
Molecule: transfer RNA, 75 nt
Filed under: Paenibacillus polymyxa
Lineage: Bacteria; Bacillati; Bacillota; Bacilli; Caryophanales; Paenibacillaceae
Description: tRNA-Val
Rfam family: tRNA
About the family: Transfer RNA (tRNA) molecules are approximately 80 nucleotides in length. Their secondary structure includes four short double-helical elements and three loops (D, anti-codon, and T loops). Further hydrogen bonds mediate the characteristic L-shaped molecular structure. tRNAs have two regions of fundamental functional importance: the anti-codon, which is responsible for specific mRNA codon recognition, and the 3' end, to which the tRNAs corresponding amino acid is attached (by aminoacyl-tRNA synthetases). tRNAs cope with the degeneracy of the genetic code in two manners: having more than one tRNA (with a specific anti-codon) for a particular amino acid; and 'wobble' base-pairing, i.e. permitting non-standard base-pairing at the 3rd anti-codon position.
Source: RNAcentral